Molecule: long non-coding RNA, 397 nt
Organism: Haliotis rubra (blacklip abalone)
Lineage: Eukaryota; Metazoa; Mollusca; Gastropoda; Lepetellida; Haliotidae
Exons: 2
Source: RefSeq, a predicted model, not a curated record
CUUCAUACUGUCAAGGGAGAUCUAAGGAGAAUGCCUUUUGUACUUGGGGGGAAAAUUGCUCCCACUUCUGGUUUUCCUAGUCAAGAGUUCAAGAUAUAAGGCAGUACUACACUAUUCUGGAUGACAACAACAGAGCUGUUACACAUCGUAUACAGGAUUACAUCCAUGGACUAUUUUGUUGUGGACAUUCUGUGUUUAUGGACCAUCAGUGAACUUGUGUGUACUUUUGACCAUUGUUUGCCUCGCCAUCUGAAUGUAAUUGGAUGUUUAUUUGUGCUGAUUAGUACAACAUACCCUGAUUACCAAUAUUAUCUUGUGGAGAAUGUCACUGUUUCAUGCUACUGUUUGUGAAGUGAGGCUGUAAUGUAAUAAACAUAUUUGGCCUAAACAGCUUUUA